CCUACGGGUGGCAGCAGUGAGGAAUAUUGGUCAAUGGACGAGAGUCUGAACCAGCCAAGUAGCGUGAAGGAUGACUGCCCUAUGGGUUGUAAACUUCUUUUAUAAAGGAAUAAAACGUGGCACGUGUGACUGUUUGCAUGUACUUUAUUACUAAGGAUCGGCUAACUCCGUGCCAGCAGCCGCGGUACUACGGAGGAUCCGAGCGUUAUGCGGAUUUAUUGGGUUGAAAGGGAGCGUAGAUGGGUUGUUAAGUCAGUUGUGAAAGUUUGCGGCUCAACCGUAAAAUUGCAAUUGAUACUGGCAGUCUUGAGUACAGUUGAGGUAGGCAGAAUUCGUGGUGUAGCGGUGAAAUGCUUAGAUAUCACGAAGAACCCCGAUUGCGAAGGCAGCUUACUAAACUGUGACUGACAUUGAUGCUCGAAAGUGUGGGUAUCAAACAGGAUUAGAUACCCUUGUAGUC
This 460-nucleotide ribosomal RNA is filed under the name uncultured bacterium. Its description in RNAcentral is "partial 16S ribosomal RNA". It matches the Rfam family "Bacterial small subunit ribosomal RNA", at positions 338 to 795 of the family's 1533-position model. The record is from RNAcentral.